GACGAACCGAGCGACCGUUGUUCGGAAUCACUGGGCUUAAAGGGCGCGUAGGCGGGUGCUCAAGUCCGGGGUGAAAUCCUCCAGCUCAACUGGAGAACUGCCUCGGAUACUGGGUGCCUCGAGGGUGGUAGGGGUAUGCGGAACUAUCGGUGGAGCGGUGAAAUGCGUUGAUAUCGAUAGGAACUCCGGUGGCGAAGGCGGCAUACUGGACCACAUCUGACGCUGAGGCGCGAAAGCCAGGGGAGCAAACGGG
RNAcentral lists this ribosomal RNA (253 nucleotides) under uncultured bacterium. RNAcentral describes it as "partial 16S ribosomal RNA". It matches the Rfam family "Bacterial small subunit ribosomal RNA", at positions 524 to 776 of the family's 1533-position model. The record is from RNAcentral.